This 484-nucleotide long non-coding RNA is filed under the name Calidris pugnax (ruff). RNAcentral's name for it is "lncRNA (ENSCPUG00000001982.1)". Lineage: Eukaryota; Metazoa; Chordata; Aves; Charadriiformes; Scolopacidae. The record is from RNAcentral.
AGUGAAGUGAACACAUGGACCCAACUGAAAUACAAUUGAAAAAGAUUUUUAUAAGAAACUUCCCUCAGAAGCUCAAACUGAAACAGACCUUCUGGAAAAGGACAGCACACAAAAGAGGAUCACUGAAACUGAGUCUGUAUUGAUCAAAAGAACACCCUCUACAUCAUUAUUACAGAAGCUUACAACAAAAACACAGUGAAAACAAUUUUACGGAAGUUGUAAAGUGCUUGAGCAAGAGGUAGACUUCUCUGUGGAUAAGGAAGAAAACAUUUACACCAAUCUGCACGGGUUGUCAGCAUUACUGGAGACCCUCUGAAAUGAUAGUGGAAAUACCUGUGAAUAUGAAUAAGCUUGAGAAGAUGCUCCCACCACCAGGAUAGUUCCUCCAAGUGAGUAAAUGCCCACUUAAUUAGAAGGAAAAACCCUUGACUUUGACACAUUUGAAAGGCUUGUUGAGCUGUAACUCAAGAGCACAUUCUGUGGA